This 359-nucleotide long non-coding RNA is filed under the name Setaria viridis. RNAcentral's name for it is "long non-coding RNA (SVIR_LNC000704)". Lineage: Eukaryota; Viridiplantae; Streptophyta; Magnoliopsida; Poales; Poaceae. The record is from RNAcentral.
UGUGGUCUUCAAUUAUUGCAGUUGCUGGUGAGGGUAUUGUAGCUAUUAUUGCCUUUUACUUGAGAGGGUACACGGGUACACUGUUCACUUUUGUAUGUUGUGCUUAGUGUGGUCAAUGCGUGGAGUCGUCUGUCUGGCCUUUGUUAGUGUCUCAGGCUGCUCAUCACGAGCGAGCAGUAAUUGCGAGUAGUUGACCGUUGUAGCCCUUCGGCUAUAAAUGAGCAUGUGGGUACUCGAUCAGGAUCAUGCCCUUCAGUAUAGCGAUGGCUUGCUUCAGGUUACUGUUGUUUGAUAGUAAAGAGCUUCCAAUGAGUGUCCUGGUGCUAAAAGAUUCCUCGUAGAUUAGAGCCACCUUCCCU